GACAGAAGACACAGAAAUCCUCUUCAUCACAAACAUGAUGCUGAUCUUCAUCUGGACUUUCCUCUGCUGUUGCUUCACAGAGUCCAGAGGUCAGGUCACAGUGACUCAGCCUGGAGCAGUGAGCUCUGCUCUGGGAGGCUCUGUCACCAUCAGCUGUAAGACCAGUCAGAGGGUAGAUGAUGGAACAGACCAAUUCUGGUACCAACAGAAAGAUGGACAACCUCCUAAACUGCUCACCAGCUAUGGUAAUCGUAAAGUUUCAGGGAUUCCUGAUCGAUUUUCAAGCAGUGGAUCAAACACUGACUUCACUCUGAGCAUCAGUGGAGUUCAGGCUGAAGAUGCUGCAGUUUAUUACUGUAAAGGUGAAUUCUGGCCUAACAGUCAACUCGUGUUCACACAGUGAAAACUCAUCGUACAAAAACUUCCCUCAGUUACACUAAACAGAAGCUGAACUGAAACUGCUGUAGCUGGAAACUACAGCUACAGUUCACUGAACACACACCAACAUUUUUGAUUGUAUCUUUAACUUCAUACAGUCAUUUGAACAUGAACAUUUUCUGCUGCAAUAUGUUGUAUUUAUAAUGUGUAAAAUAUGUAUAAAGGUUUUUCCCUGUGGACACCAACUGCAGUUCUUCAUUCAGUAAAAGUUUAAAACAAUGGA
Molecule: non-coding RNA, 661 nt
Organism: Stegastes partitus (bicolor damselfish)
Lineage: Eukaryota; Metazoa; Chordata; Actinopteri; Pomacentridae
Source: the annotation of a RefSeq genome assembly